Molecule: ribosomal RNA, 492 nt
Filed under: uncultured bacterium
Lineage: Bacteria
Description: partial 16S ribosomal RNA
Rfam family: Bacterial small subunit ribosomal RNA
Source: RNAcentral
GGUGAACGCUGGCGGUAGGCCUAACACAUGCAAGUCGAACGGCAGCACAGUAAGAGCUUGCUCUUACGGGUGGCGAGUGGCGGACGGGUGAGGAAUACAUCGGAAUCUACUUUUUCGUGGGGGAUAACGUAGGGAAACUUACGCUAAUACCGCAUACGACCUACGGGUGAAAGCAGGGGAUCUUCGGACCUUGCGCGAUUGAAUGAGCCGAUGUCGGAUUAGCUAGUUGGCGGGGUAAAGGCCCACCAAGGCGACGAUCCGUAGCUGGUCUGAGAGGAUGAUCAGCCACACUGGAACUGAGACACGGUCCAGACUCCUACGGGAGGCAGCAGUGGGGAAUAUUGGACAAUGGGCGCAAGCCUGAUCCAGCCAUACCGCGUGGGUGAAGAAGGCCUUCGGGUUGUAAAGCCCUUUUGUUGGGAAAGGAAAGCAGCAGGUUAAUACCCCGCUGUUCUGACGGUACCCAAAGAAUAAGCACCGGCUAACUUCGUG